This 254-nucleotide ribosomal RNA is filed under the name uncultured bacterium. RNAcentral's name for it is "partial 16S ribosomal RNA". It matches the Rfam family "Bacterial small subunit ribosomal RNA", at positions 524 to 776 of the family's 1533-position model. The record is from RNAcentral.
UACGUAGGUGGCAAGCGUUGUCCGGAUUUACUGGGCGUAAAGGGCGCGUAGGCGGCCUUCUAAGUCGAACGUGAAAUCCCCGGGCUCAACCCGGGAACUGCGUCCGAUACUGGAAGGCUUGAAUCCGGGAGAGGGAUGUGGAAUUCCAGAUGUAGCGGUGAAAUGCGUAGAUAUCUGGAGGAACACCGGUGGCGAAGGCGACAUCCUGGACCGGUAUUGACGCUGAGUGAGCGAAAGCCAGGGGAGCAAACGGG